Molecule: ribosomal RNA, 440 nt
Filed under: uncultured eukaryote
Lineage: Eukaryota
Description: SSU rRNA
Rfam family: Eukaryotic small subunit ribosomal RNA
Source: RNAcentral
AGCUCCAAUAGCGUAUAUUAAAGUUGUUGCGGUUAAAAAGCUCGUAGUUGGUUCUGUGUGCCACGCUGUCGGUUCACCGCCUGCCGGUGCAACUGACAUGCCGUGGGAUGUCUUGCCGGAGGGGGCCGAAACCCUUCAGCGGCUUCCCGUUGUUGGGCUCAGGUCCUCGCAAUGCUGCCACGGUGCUCUUCACCGAGUGUCGGGGCAGGCCGACAAGAUUACUUUGAACAAAUUAGAGUGCUUAAAGCAGGCUUAAUUUCGCCUGAAUAGUUGUGCAUGGAAUAAUGGAAUAUGACCUUGUUUCUGUUUUGUUGGCUUUCGGAAUUCACGGUAAUGAUCAAUGUGGACAGGCGGGGGCAUUCGUAUUGCGACGUUAGAGGUGAAAUUCUUGGAUCGUCGCAAGACGAACUAGAGCGAAAGCAUUUGCCAAGUAUGUCUUA